Molecule: long non-coding RNA, 274 nt
Organism: Etheostoma spectabile (orangethroat darter)
Lineage: Eukaryota; Metazoa; Chordata; Actinopteri; Perciformes; Percidae
Exons: 3
Source: RefSeq, a predicted model, not a curated record
CAUUGAUUUGGUGUAAGCAGAGAUGGGAGUAAGUCACACAUGGUCAAGUCACAAGCAAAGUCUUAACCUUCAAGUCUCAAGCAAGUCCAAGUCAUUUUUUGUGACAUUAAAGCAAGUCAAGUCAUAGCUUGGGUCAAACAAGUCACAUGUCAAGUCAUACAAAAUUUUCCAUUUUUAAACAAGCUAAAGACAGUGGUUACUGCUUGAGUCUAAUUUGCAUUUUUUUCCCACUCAAUAUUCAAAACACAUUGCGUCCAAGCCACAUACAUCUGAA